RNAcentral lists this ribosomal RNA (422 nucleotides) under uncultured bacterium. RNAcentral describes it as "partial 16S ribosomal RNA". It matches the Rfam family "Bacterial small subunit ribosomal RNA", at positions 360 to 773 of the family's 1533-position model. The record is from RNAcentral.
AAUAUUUGACAAUGGGCGAAAGCCUGAUCCAGCCAUGCCGCGUGUGUGAAGAAGGCCUUUUGGUUGUUAAGCACUUUAAGCGAGGUGGAGGAGAUCUUGGUUAAUACCCAAGAUGCUUGGACGUUACUCGAAGAAUAAGAACCGGCUAACUCUGUGCCAGCAGCCGCGGUAAUACCGAGGGUGCAAGGGUUACUCGGAUUUACUGGGCGUAAAGCGCGCGUAGGUGGCCCAUUAAGUCAAAUGUGAAAUCCCCGAGCUUAACUUGGGAAUUGCAUUCGAUACUGGUUGGCUAGAGUAUGGGAGAGGAUGGUAGAAUUCCAGGUGUAGCGGUGAAAUGCGUAGAGAUCUGGAGGAAUACCGAUGGCGAAGGCAGCCAUCUGGCCUAAUACUGACACUGAGGUGCGAAAGCAUGGGGAGCAAAC